CCUUUGACGUUAGCGGCGGACGGGUGAGUAACACGUGGGUAACCUACCUAUAAGACUGGGAUAACUUCGGGAAACCGUAGCUAAUACCGGAUAAUAUUUCGAACCGCAUGGUUCGAUAGUGAAAGAUGGUUUUGCUAUCACUUAUAGAUGGACCCGCGCCGUAUUAGCUAGUUGGUAAGGUAACGGCUUACCAAGGCGACGAUACGUAGCCGACCUGAGAGGGUGAUCGGCCACACUGGAACUGAGACACGGUCCAGACUCCUACGGGAGGCAGCAGGC
This 279-nucleotide ribosomal RNA is filed under the name uncultured Staphylococcus sp. RNAcentral's name for it is "partial 16S ribosomal RNA". It matches the Rfam family "Bacterial small subunit ribosomal RNA", at positions 83 to 354 of the family's 1533-position model. Lineage: Bacteria; Bacillati; Bacillota; Bacilli; Caryophanales; Staphylococcaceae. The record is from RNAcentral.